RNAcentral lists this microRNA precursor (173 nucleotides) under Pelobates cultripes (western spadefoot toad). Lineage: Eukaryota; Metazoa; Chordata; Amphibia; Anura; Pelobatidae. The record is from RNAcentral.
CAGCAGACACAUUCCAGCCAAUCAGCAGCAGACCCUCCCUCCCAGACCCUCCCACCUCCAGGACAGCAUCCAUUUUACAUUCAUUGUGAAGCUGCAUUCUUAGUGAGCUGUCCAGGAGGAGGGAGGGUCUGGGAGGGAGGGUCUGCUGCUGAUUGGCUGGAAUGUGUCUGCUG